GUGGUAGCCAUGGCCAGAGUGCCUCACCCAGCCAGGGCAGGACAAAGGGAUAGCACAGUGGAGGUGGCUUUAAAUCAGGACCUGAAGAAGAGGUGGAGAUGCCAGGCUGCCAGAGAUUAAGGGAAAUGCCACUGUUUUCCUCAGCAUGUAAGAAGCAAAGCUGAUCAGCCUGAUUCCCGUAGAUGCUGUGGAUUCCCUGGAAGCACACAGGAGGUGAGCUGCUCCCAGUGCACAAGAGGAGGCUUCCAGACCGCCAUACCACCCCCGUCAUUACACAAGAGGUGAGCCACUCCCAGCGCACAAGAGGAGGCUUCCUGGCCACCAUACCACCCCCGCCAGCACACAGGAGGUGAACCGGGAGGGCGCCAACAGCAAUCGCCCUACCCAGUCGAAAUGAGAACACACAUAAAUAAGUCUCAAAAUCAGACUUUCAGAUCAACUACAGCAACCCCAAAGGGAAAUGAGAUGGAACACUCUGAUACUCAACCACCUGGAUUCCCUGAACUGGCAACAAAAGAGGAUCUGGAAAAAAAUGAUAUCAGAAAUAAUUUCGCAGGUAACAGCAGAGAUUGUGCUCAUAGUGAAAGACAAUAAAUCUAAAGAGGAACUCAGGAACAUGAUGGAAUCCCAACAUAGGAAACAAAUGGAAUUAAUAAAACAGAUGCAAACAGAUUGCCAGGAGAUUAAAAACUCCACUGAGAGUCUACAC
Heterocephalus glaber (naked mole-rat) is the source of this 709-nucleotide long non-coding RNA. The record is from Ensembl. Lineage: Eukaryota; Metazoa; Chordata; Mammalia; Rodentia; Bathyergidae.